AUUGAACGCUAGCGGGAUGCCUUACACAUGCAAGUCGAACGGCAGCACGGACUUCGGUCUGGUGGCGAGUGGCGAACGGGUGAGUAAUGUAUCGGAACGUGCCUAGUAGCGGGGGAUAACUACGCGAAAGCGUAGCUAAUACCGCAUACGCCCUACGGGGGAAAGCAGGGGAUCGCAAGACCUUGCACUAUUAGAGCGGCCGAUAUCGGAUUAGCUAGUUGGUGGGGUAACGGCUCACCAAGGCGACGAUCCGUAGCUGGUUUGAGAGGACGACCAGCCACACUGGGACUGAGACACGGCCCAGACUCCUACGGGAGGCAGCAGUGGGGAAUUUUGGACAAUGGGGGAAACCCUGAUCCAGCCAUCCCGCGUGUGCGAUGAAGGCCUUCGGGUUGUAAAGCACUUUUGGCAGGAAAGAAACGUCA
RNAcentral lists this ribosomal RNA (425 nucleotides) under Achromobacter sp. MMA-AI-2. RNAcentral describes it as "bacterial SSU rRNA". It matches the Rfam family "Bacterial small subunit ribosomal RNA", at positions 30 to 455 of the family's 1533-position model. Lineage: Bacteria; Pseudomonadati; Pseudomonadota; Betaproteobacteria; Burkholderiales; Alcaligenaceae. The record is from RNAcentral.